This 292-nucleotide ribosomal RNA is filed under the name uncultured bacterium. Its description in RNAcentral is "partial 16S ribosomal RNA". The record is from RNAcentral.
GGACUACCAGGGUUUCUAAUCCUGUUUGCUCCCCUAGCUUUCGCGCCUCAGCGUCUGUUUCAGCCCAGAAAACCGUCUUCACCACCGGUGUUCUUCCACAUAUCUACGCAUUUCACCGCUACACGUGGAAUUCCGUUUUCCCUAACUGAACUCUAGCCAAAUAGUUUCAAAUGCCGCUUCGGGGUUGAGCCCCGAAAUUUCACAUCUGACUGGUUUGGCCGCCUACGCGCCCUUUACGCCCAGUAAUUCCGAUCAAUGCUUGCACCCUCCGUAUUACCGCGGCUGCUGGCAC